GAUGAACGCUAGCGAUAGGCUUAACACAUGCAAGUCGAGGGGCAGCAUGGUCUUAGCUUGCUAAGACUGAUGGCGACCGGCGCACGGGUGCGUAACGCGUAUGCAACUUGCCUCACAGAGGGGGAUAACCCGUCGAAAGACGGACUAAUACCGCGUACACUUGGGAUAGGGCAUCCUGACCCAAGGAAAUGAAAUUCGCUGUGAGAUAGGCAUGCGUCCCAUUAGCUAGUUGGUGAGGUAACGGCUCACCAAGGCGACGAUGGGUAGGGGAACUGAGAGGUUGAACCCCCACACUGGUACUGAGGCACGGACCAGACUCCUACGGGAGGCAGCAGUGAGGAAUAUUGGUCAAUGGGCGAGAGCCUGAACCAGCCAAGUCGCGUGAAGGAUGACUGUCUUAUGGAUUGUAAACUUCUUUUAUACGGGAAUAACAAGAGUCACGUGUGGCUCCCUGCAUGUACCGUAUGAAUAAGCAUCGGCUAACUCCGUG
RNAcentral lists this ribosomal RNA (490 nucleotides) under uncultured bacterium. Its description in RNAcentral is "partial 16S ribosomal RNA". It matches the Rfam family "Bacterial small subunit ribosomal RNA", at positions 28 to 507 of the family's 1533-position model. The record is from RNAcentral.